CAGCAGCCGCGGGAAUACGAAGGGUGCAAGCGUUACUCGGAAUUACUGGGCGUAAAGCGUGCGUAGGUGGUGGUUUAAGUCCGUUGUGAAAGCCCUGGGCUCAACCUGGGAAUUGCAGUGGAUACUGGGUCACUAGAGUGUGGUAGAGGAUAGUGGAAUUUCCGGUGUAGCAGUGAAAUGCGUAGAGAUCGGAAGGAACAUCUGUGGCGAGGGCGACUAUCUGGGCCAACACUGACACUGAGGCACGAAAGCGUGGGGAGCAAACAGGAUUAGAUACCCCCGUAGUCCCUGUCUCUUAUAC
RNAcentral lists this ribosomal RNA (301 nucleotides) under uncultured bacterium. RNAcentral's name for it is "partial 16S ribosomal RNA". It matches the Rfam family "Bacterial small subunit ribosomal RNA", at positions 509 to 807 of the family's 1533-position model. The record is from RNAcentral.